Molecule: transfer RNA, 97 nt
Filed under: Chloroflexota bacterium
Lineage: Bacteria; Bacillati; Chloroflexota
Description: tRNA-Sec
Rfam family: Selenocysteine transfer RNA
Source: RNAcentral
GGGGGUGGCCGGGUCCCGGUGGGCCCCGCGGUCUUCAAAACCGUUGGGGGGCAUGAGAAAUGUCCCAGGUGGGUUCGACUCCCAUCCGCUCCCGCCA